UCCGUAGGUGGAUCAAUCAGUCAGAGGUGAAAUCCUGCAGCUUAACUGUAGAACUGCCUUUGAUACUGUUGAUCUUGAGUCAUUAUGAAGUGGUUAGAAUGUGUAGUGUAGCGGUGAAAUGCAUAGAUAUUACACAGAAUACCGAUUGCGAAGGCAGAUCACUAAUAAUGUACUGACACUGAGGGACGAAAGCGUGGGGAGCGAACAGGAUUAGAUACCUGGUAGUCC
Molecule: ribosomal RNA, 228 nt
Filed under: uncultured bacterium
Lineage: Bacteria
Description: partial 16S ribosomal RNA
Rfam family: Bacterial small subunit ribosomal RNA
Source: RNAcentral